RNA transcript from Onychostoma macrolepis, 3115 nucleotides. It is a transcript of the gene named coiled-coil domain-containing protein 112, with no coding region annotated. The transcript has 8 exons. NCBI's taxonomy places the organism in Eukaryota, Metazoa, Chordata, Actinopteri, Cypriniformes, Cyprinidae. The record is from RefSeq and is a predicted model, not a curated record.
GCUUUGGUACAUUUCUCAGGCAGAUCAACUGAAAUUCUCAAAACUAUAUGUUCAGCGUCCACAUCAUCUCACUUGUGCUCAUUAUUAAAGCAGUUUGUCGAUUUUUGAACAAGUAGCAAAUGCUUCGGUACAUUCAUGCGAUUGAUCAUGUACAGUUGUCUGCUGUUUCCUACAUUAUCAAUUGCUUGUGUCAUGUUGCUCAAAAAGUCUGUUUCUCUGUUGAAUAGUUUAACCCACUGGUCACCAACCUUUUCAAGCCCAAGAUCCCUGACCUCUGCUUUGAUGAAAGGCAAGAUCUAUGGUAGUUAUGACGUUGUAGGGCGUCGUUACCAUAGCAACAGUUCAAACAAAGCCGCACACAGAUCAUUGGCUGAUAUUUGACGUGUUUUAUCUCGGUUUCUGCGUCUGAUUAACGGUUAUUAGAUCCGUUCGCUUUGAUCGUGUCUGGCUUUGCGUCGCGCUUUUGAGCAAAUGUCUGCGGCGGGAUUUCUGCGGGAAACGGAAGCUCUCCGAAGACUAGUGUGUAGAGAGGAGAGAGAGGCGAGGAGGCACGAGCUCAGAGACGCUUCCAGCGCGCUCCGGGAUCACAUGAACGCGCAGCUCGCGGCGGACGUCAUGAAAGUUGAGCAGCAGCUGCAGAAACUCAAGAACGACGUCUUCAGAUUCCAGGAGCAGCUGAUGGAUGUCAAACCGUCUCCAGACGUGAUCGACAAAUUAAGAGAGACCAUGACCGAUAUUGAGAACUCCAUCAGUGCUUUCAAAGACACGCAACAUCAGAGUUUUGAGGAGCUCCUGAAAGACGAGAGGAGCGUCUGGCAGGAGAUCUGCGCCUUCGAGAGGAAGAUGGACUCCUGGAGUCUGUCUGUGAGAGCCGAGGCCUGUCCUCGUCGCUCCGAGAAGCCGUGCGACUGGAGGAGUGUCCCGGAGGAGGUGACGGCGCUCCAGACCUUCCUCCAGCAGACGGGAGGCAGAGCCGGCGGCUGGGACGAGUUCGACCACCGCAGCUUCCUGAAGGUGUGGACCAAGCACCGAGGAAAGCCCUCGUACAGACGAGAAGCACGGCUUUAUUUACCUGAGAAGACGGAGGAGGAGGUGAAGCGGCACGAGGAGUGGUUUCUGGAGCUGCGCCGGCUGCAGGACGACAAGAGAGAGGCCAUCUGUCGAUGGAGAGCGUGCAAGCGGAGGGAGCGGGAGCAGCAGCGGGAGCAGCGUGACGGAGACGAGGAGCCGCAGGAGGACGAGGAGGAGCAGGAGGAGCAGCGCAGGGAGGCGUCUGAGCGGCUGGAGGCCUGGAGGAGGUGCAGAACACAGCAGAGAGAGCAGGAGCGACAGCAGCAGCUCAGAGACCAGAUCCUGCAGACGAGAAGAGCCAAAGAGGAGCGGCGCCGGCAGCUGGAGCUCAAGCUGCUCGUGGAGACGCACCUCCAGCAGAAGAAGGAGCAGGAGGAGCAGCGUCUGCUGGAGGAGGAGGCGCAGGAGCAGCAGGAGAGACAGGAGCGCCAGCGGCAGGCGGCUCAAGGCAUCCGACGCUUCCAGCAGCGAGUGAGCGGAGCUCUGUGUUUGAGACCGACGCUCGUGUUCACUCUGUUACUCAGUUGUUCUCUCUCUCGUCAGGAUUCACGCGCCUCGAGGAAAAACUGCAGGAGAAGCAGAGUAAAGAGCAGGAGCAGAGCGAGCGGCAGAGGGCGCUAGAUAAACUCAAGGAGAAGGUGGCGGUUCACAUCGGCCGGGAUCCGUCCCGACUCUGGAGGCUCACUGAAGCCUGGCAGGAGCGCAGUAAAGAGACCGGCCCGUCUGGGACCGGACCCGUGUUUCAGAUCUUCCACAGAGCUGUUCCAGCGUGGAGACAAGACUCGUGAGCGAUCCGCCGCUUCAGACCGAGCACAUCAGCUGGAAAAUGUGUCCAAGUGAACAGCAGUGUAAAUAAAGUAAUGCUACGUUCAGCACCAAAGCUUCGAAGCUUGUAUCAAAAACCAGCACGUUUCACAUCGAAGCAUGUUAUCGGAGCUGGAUUGGUUUGGUCAAACGCGCGAGAUCUGUGACGUCCGAAGCUUCGUUCGCAUGAAAACCACGCGACUGCUUCAGUAUCUGCUUCAAACCAAGCCAACCUCAGCCUUCAUGGAGGACAAGAUCUGCCUCUCGAAGAACUGAUAGAAGAAGACAGCCCAGAUUGUACGUUUAAUUUAAGGCCUUUAAUUUAGUUUUAGUGAUGCACCGAUCAUGACUGAUUCAGAUUCAGUUUUUUUAAUCUAGUAAACUGGCCGAUACUGAUACUGGAGGCUGAUUUACUGUAAUUGCUGUAAUACGCAGACUACAGCUCUCGGCUGAAUAAAAGAAGCCAGUGUCUAGUAGCCUAAAGCUUUGAUGGACGACGAUUGUAAGCAAGAUAAAGAUGAUUACAGUAGCAGACAGGAGCCGUGCAUUAGGCGCGUCGUGUCCUUUAUAAUCGAUGCGCUGUCAGCGCACUGAUCACUGCAACAUCACAUAACAUCAUACAGCUCAGUAUAUUCACGUGAAGAUCGCUGAGUUCAGAGCGGUUUCAUUUUUCACUUGUAUUUUGGUGUGUUUAGUGAUUCUGAAUGCCCCCGUGCAGUAGUUCAUAUGCAGUCCUUUGGCGUCUCCCUGUGCUAUUGUGUGUAUGGCAGGUUGACUUGCUUAUAUGCUAAAGUUACUAUAUAACUGAGCUUUACAUACUUUUAUCUGCAGUGACAUUUUAGCAAAGUAUGUUUGCAGAAAAGAACACGGAAUGGUUCAAUCUCUCUUGAAUUUGGUUUUGUUUAAAUACAUGUCAUUGAAAAGUAAUAACAAAUACAAAGGUUUUAGUGAAUAGAAAAGUUUGGGUUUGUAUUUAUAGAAAAGUUUGUAUCUUAUUAUUGAUUUAUUGUUCACUUGGUAGAUCUCAGUGAGUUUCUCAUUCAAAAUAUUCUUUGCUGUCUUUCUGUAGGCCUACAAUGAAAGUGUUAUAAUUAGUAACUUACGAUGUUUUUAUUAAAUUCACAUUAAAUACAAAGUCUUAUUAAAAAUAUUUUAUGACAUGACACCCAUAUCUGGAACAAGGUUUUAUGCAUAGAUCAGACUAACAUCAAGCUCCUUACCCGUCGCCUAGCAGCUAACA